Molecule: transfer RNA, 73 nt
Filed under: Candidatus Vampirococcus lugosii
Lineage: Bacteria; Candidatus Absconditibacteriota
Description: tRNA-Gln
Rfam family: tRNA
About the family: Transfer RNA (tRNA) molecules are approximately 80 nucleotides in length.
Source: RNAcentral
UGGGGUAUGGCCAAGCUGGUAAGGCAACGGGCUUUGAACCCGUAAUUCCUAGGUUCGAGUCCUAGUACCCCAG